This 428-nucleotide ribosomal RNA is filed under the name uncultured bacterium. RNAcentral's name for it is "bacterial SSU rRNA". It matches the Rfam family "Bacterial small subunit ribosomal RNA", at positions 917 to 1341 of the family's 1533-position model. The record is from RNAcentral.
GGGCCUGCACAAGCGGUGGAGUAUGUGGCUUAAUUCGAUGCAACGCGAAGAACCUUACCUGGCCUUGACAUGUAGUGGCCCGGGUGCGAAAUCACCCUUUUCUUCGGAACUGCUACACAGGUGCUGCAUGGCUGUCGUCAGCUCGUGUCGUGAGAUGUUGGGUUAAGUCCCGCAACGAGCGCAACCCCCGUGUUCUGUUGCCACCCGGAUGAGAAUCCGGAGCACUCUGGACAGACUGCCUGGUUUCAACCAGGAGGAAGGUGGGGAUGACGUCAAGUCAGUAUGGCCCUUACGGCCAGGGCUGCACACGUACUACAAUGCCCGGUACAAUGGGAAGCGAGACCGCGAGGUGGAGCAAAUCCUAAAAACCGGGCCCAGUUCAGAUUGUAGGCUGCAACUCGCCUACAUGAAGGAGGAAUCGCUAGUAA